Molecule: ribosomal RNA, 1079 nt
Filed under: Guptibacillus hwajinpoensis
Lineage: Bacteria; Bacillati; Bacillota; Bacilli; Caryophanales; Guptibacillaceae
Description: bacterial SSU rRNA
Rfam family: Bacterial small subunit ribosomal RNA
Source: RNAcentral
GGGAGCUUGCUCCCUGAUCUUAGCGGCGGACGGGUGAGUAACACGUGGGCAACCUGCCCUGCAGACUGGGAUAACUCCGGGAAACCGGAGCUAAUACCGGGUAAUACAUCGCACCGCAUGGUGCAAUGUUGAAAGUUGGCUUUCGAGCUAACACUGCAGGAUGGGCCCGCGGCGCAUUAGCUAGUUGGUAAGGUAAUGGCUUACCAAGGCGACGAUGCGUAGCCGACCUGAGAGGGUGAUCGGCCACACUGGGACUGAGACACGGCCCAGACUCCUACGGGAGGCAGCAGUAGGGAAUCUUCCGCAAUGGACGAAAGUCUGACGGAGCAACGCCGCGUGAGUGACGAAGGCCUUCGGGUCGUAAAGCUCUGUUGUUAGGGAAGAACAAGUACCGUUCGAAUAGGGCGGUACCUUGACGGUACCUAACCAGAAAGCCACGGCUAACUACGUGCCAGCAGCCGCGGUAAUACGUAGGUGGCAAGCGUUGUCCGGAAUUAUUGGGCGUAAAGCGCGCGCAGGCGGUCUUUUAAGUCUGAUGUGAAAGCCCACGGCUCAACCGUGGAGGGUCAUUGGAAACUGGAGGACUUGAGUGCAGAAGAGGAGAGUGGAAUUCCACGUGUAGCGGUGAAAUGCGUAGAUAUGUGGAGGAACACCAGUGGCGAAGGCGGCUCUCUGGUCUGUAACUGACGCUGAGGCGCGAAAGCGUGGGGAGCAAACAGGAUUAGAUACCCUGGUAGUCCACGCCGUAAACGAUGAGUGCUAGGUGUUGGGGGGUUCCACCCUCAGUGCUGAAGUUAACACAUUAAGCACUCCGCCUGGGGAGUACGACCGCAAGGUUGAAACUCAAAGGAAUUGACGGGGGCCCGCACAAGCAGUGGAGCAUGUGGUUUAAUUCGAAGCAACGCGAAGAACCUUACCAGGUCUUGACAUCCUCUGACAAUCCUGGAAGACAGGACGUUCCCCUUCGGGGGACAGAGUGACAGGUGNUGCAUGGUUGUCGUCAGCUCGUGUCCUGAGAUGUUGGGUUAAGUCCCGCAACAAGCGCAACCCUUGAUCUUAGUUGCCAGCAUUCAGUUGGG